Small nucleolar RNA from Lathyrus oleraceus (garden pea), 104 nucleotides. RefSeq annotates it as small nucleolar RNA Z279/snoR105/snoR108. The transcript has a single exon. The record is from RefSeq and is a predicted model, not a curated record. NCBI's taxonomy places the organism in Eukaryota, Viridiplantae, Streptophyta, Magnoliopsida, Fabales, Fabaceae.
GGGAUGUGAUGAGUGGUCGAGUCUCGCUUAAGAUAUGCGAGUUGGGUGUCUGCCCCAAGCCUGGUUACGACAAUUGGGCACUCUCAUUUGAUCAAUCUGAUCCC